Molecule: small nuclear RNA, 23 nt
Filed under: Arabidopsis thaliana (thale cress)
Lineage: Eukaryota; Viridiplantae; Streptophyta; Magnoliopsida; Brassicales; Brassicaceae
Description: snRNA_01032
Source: RNAcentral
AUACUGUGACGAAAUAUGUAAAU